UACGAAGGGAGCUAGCGUUGUUCGGAAUUACUGGGCGUAAAGCGCACGUAGGCGGACUAUUAAGUCAGGGGUGAAAUCCCGGGGCUCAACCCCGGAACUGCCUUUGAUACUGGUAGUCUCGAGUCCGGAAGAGGUGAGUGGAAUUCCGAGUGUAGAGGUGAAAUUCGUAGAUAUUCGGAGGAACACCAGUGGCGAAGGCGGCUCACUGGUCCGGUACUGACGCUGAGGUGCGAAAGCGUGGGGAGCAAACAGG
This 253-nucleotide ribosomal RNA is filed under the name uncultured bacterium. RNAcentral describes it as "partial 16S ribosomal RNA". It matches the Rfam family "Bacterial small subunit ribosomal RNA", at positions 524 to 776 of the family's 1533-position model. The record is from RNAcentral.